This 254-nucleotide ribosomal RNA is filed under the name uncultured bacterium. RNAcentral describes it as "partial 16S ribosomal RNA". It matches the Rfam family "Bacterial small subunit ribosomal RNA", at positions 524 to 776 of the family's 1533-position model. The record is from RNAcentral.
UACGGGGGGAGCAAGCGUUGUUCGGAUUUACUGGGCGUAAAGGGCGUGUAGGCGGCCACCGCAAGUCGACUGUGAAAUCUCCGGGCUUAACCCGGAAAGGUCAGCCGAUACUGCGGGGCUAGAGUGCAGAAGGGGCAACUGGAAUUCUCGGUGUAGCGGUGAAAUGCGUAGAUAUCGAGAGGAACACCUGCGGCGAAGGCGGGUUGCUGGGCUGACACUGACGCUGAACUGCGAAAGCUAGGGGAGCGAACGGG